CUUCCUGAUCCUGGAGCAGAUCUCUGGACUGUGUUGAGCAGAAGUCACGUGAGCACACUUCGAGGAAAGCAAAAGUGAAAGUAACUUUCGGGAGUCAGAUUUCAGUAAAACACCGGUAACCGAGCAGUUCCUUCAGAUGUGAUCCGGAUCACCUUCGAGUGAAAACAUGUGUCGUCGGGACGUUAUACGGUUUUUAUAAGACCGUAAUAUAAGUGUUUGUUCGGAUUGGGAGCGCAAAGAUGGAAGAGAAGAGUCUGAUUCUCGAGGGUCUGCCGGAAGAUUUCCACAGAGUCAAAGCAAAGAUCGAGCUUUACUUCAAAAACAAAAGAAGGUCUGGAGGAGAAAUCGUGCAGAUUCGAGAGCAUCCAGACGACAAACGAAAAGCGCUUCUGGUUUAUAUAAGCGAGGAAGAUCUGAAGAAGGUGCUUGACAAAAGGAUCCAUAAAGUUGAUCUCAAACCUCAUGGAUCUGUUGAAGUGACGGUGAAACUCCCAGAAGACACAAAAAUCAAGAUGAAACCACAAGUACUGCCCAAACCCAAACCAGAGACGUGCCUUGCCCUCGGAUCACCGCCAGCUGCUGCCAGACAGGUCUCUCCCGUCAGAAAGCCUACUACAGCAAUUAAAGAAGAUGAGGAGGAUUCUGAAA
Molecule: long non-coding RNA, 648 nt
Organism: Cyprinus carpio (common carp)
Lineage: Eukaryota; Metazoa; Chordata; Actinopteri; Cypriniformes; Cyprinidae
Source: Ensembl